RNAcentral lists this ribosomal RNA (465 nucleotides) under uncultured bacterium. RNAcentral's name for it is "partial 16S ribosomal RNA". It matches the Rfam family "Bacterial small subunit ribosomal RNA", at positions 338 to 795 of the family's 1533-position model. The record is from RNAcentral.
CCUACGGGGGGCAGCAGUGGGGAAUAUUGCGCAAUGGGCGAAAGCCUGACGCAGCGACGCCGCGUGAGGGAUGAAGGUCUUCGGAUCGUAAACCUCUGUCAGCAGGGAAGAACGGUCACUGUGCUAAUCAGCAGUGAAUUGACGGUACCUGCAAAGGAAGCACCGGCUAACUCCGUGCCAGCAGCCGCGGUAAUACGGAGGUUGCGAGCGUUAAUCGGAAUUACUGGGCGUAAAGCGCUCGUAGGCGGUAUGUCAAGUCAAGGGGGAAAUCCCCGCGCUCAACGUGGGAACUGCCUUUGAAACUGGCAAACUGGAGUGUGUGAGAGGAUAGUGGAAUUCCAGGUGUAGGAGUGAAAUCCGUAGAUAUCUGGAGGAACAUCAGUGGCGAAGGCGACUAUCUGGCACAUAACUGACGCUGAGGAGCGAAAGCGUGGGUAGCAAACAGGAUUAGAUACCCGGGUAGUC